AAGUGAUACCCAGGAUAGUAAUCUGUACUUAAAUUCAGUUGACCCUUGGUUAAUUCUAUGACUACCCCCUUUAAAUUAUGGGUGUACCUUUAAUUCGAUUGAACUUAGUAUAUAACAUAACUUGCAGCAGAUGUUUCUUGUCCUGGUGAAUACGAGAUUCGGAAAAUGAAGAAAGGGUCCAUAUUAUGGGUAUGUGUUUUGAUGUUAUUAAUGUCUGAAGUAGAAUGCUAUGGUCUUCAAAGGCGUUCCGUAACAGGUUUUCUAUCGAACAUAUUUGAAUUCUUGAAGGAAGCAGUCCAAAUGGUAGUGCGCACUGUAACACAUUUCGUAGCGACUUCCUGGCCAGUUGAAUCAGUAUGUGGGACAUACUUUUAUUUGAAGAA
Long non-coding RNA from Patella vulgata (common limpet), 383 nucleotides. RefSeq lists it as uncharacterized. The transcript has 3 exons. NCBI's taxonomy places the organism in Eukaryota, Metazoa, Mollusca, Gastropoda, Patellidae. The record is from RefSeq and is a predicted model, not a curated record.